UACGGAGGGGGCUAGCGUUGUUCGGAAUUACUGGGCGUAAAGCGCGCGUAGGCGGCUUUGUAAGUUAGAGGUGAAAGCCCGGAGCUCAACUCCGGAACUGCCUUUAAGACUGCAUCGCUAGAACGUCGGAGAGGUAAGUGGAAUUCCGAGUGUAGAGGUGAAAUUCGUAGAUAUUCGGAGGAACACCAGAAGCGAAGGCGGCCAACUGGCCCGAUACUGACGCUGAGGCGCGAAAGCGUGGGGAGCAAACAGG
RNAcentral lists this ribosomal RNA (253 nucleotides) under uncultured bacterium. Its description in RNAcentral is "partial 16S ribosomal RNA". It matches the Rfam family "Bacterial small subunit ribosomal RNA", at positions 524 to 776 of the family's 1533-position model. The record is from RNAcentral.